UACGUAGGCAGCAAGCGUUGUUCGGAGUUACUGGGCGUAAAGGGUGUGUAGGCGGUUCCUUAAGUUUGCUGUGAAAUCUCCCGGCUUAACCGGGAGGGUGCGGUGAAUACUGAGGGACUAGAGUACGGGAGAGGAAAGUGGAAUUCCCAGUGUAGAGGUGAAAUUCGUAGAUAUUGGGAAGAACACCGGUGGCGAAGGCGGCUCUCUGGACCGACACUGACGCUGAGGCGCGAAAGCGUGGGGAGCAAACAGG
Molecule: ribosomal RNA, 253 nt
Filed under: uncultured bacterium
Lineage: Bacteria
Description: partial 16S ribosomal RNA
Rfam family: Bacterial small subunit ribosomal RNA
Source: RNAcentral